Molecule: ribosomal RNA, 551 nt
Filed under: Massilia sp. s13m5
Lineage: Bacteria; Pseudomonadati; Pseudomonadota; Betaproteobacteria; Burkholderiales; Oxalobacteraceae
Description: bacterial SSU rRNA
Rfam family: Bacterial small subunit ribosomal RNA
Source: RNAcentral
CUGGCGGCGAGUGGCGAACGGGUGAGUAAUAUAUCGGAACGUACCCAAGAGUGGGGGAUAACGUAGCGAAAGUUACGCUAAUACCGCAUACGAUCUAAGGAUGAAAGCAGGGGACCGCAAGGCCUUGUGCUCCUGGAGCGGCCGAUAUCUGAUUAGCUAGUUGGUAGGGUAAAGGCCUACCAAGGCAUCGAUCAGUAGCUGGUCUGAGAGGACGACCAGCCACACUGGAACUGAGACACGGUCCAGACUCCUACGGGAGGCAGCAGUGGGGAAUUUUGGACAAUGGGCGCAAGCCUGAUCCAGCAAUGCCGCGUGAGUGAAGAAGGCCUUCGGGUUGUAAAGCUCUUUUGUCAGGGAAGAAACGGGUGGGGAUAAUACCUCCAUCUAAUGACGGUACCUGAAGAAUAAGCACCGGCUAACUACGUGCCAGCAGCCGCGGUAAUACGUAGGGUGCAAGCGUUAAUCGGAAUUACUGGGCGUAAAGCGUGCGCAGGCGGUUUUGUAAGUCUGUCGUGAAAUCCCCGGGCUCAACCUGGGAAUGGCGAUGGAGA